CCUACGGGGGGCAGCAGUGAGGAAUAUUGGUCAAUGGACGAGAGUCUGAACCAGCCAAGUAGCGUGAAGGAUGACUGCCCUAUGGGUUGUAAACUUCUUUUAUAAAGGAAUAAAACGAGGCACGUGUGCCUUUUUGCAUGUACUUUAUGAAUAAGGAUCGGAUAACUCCGGGCCAGCAGCCGCGGUAAUACGGAGGAUCCGAGCGUUACCCGGAUUUAUUGGGUUUAAAGGGAGCGUAGAUGGGUUGUUAAGUCAGUUGUGAAAGUUUGCGGCUCAACCGUAAAAUUGCAAUUGAUACUGGCAGUCUUGAGUACAGUUGAGGUAGGCAGAAUUCGUGGUGUAGCGGUGAAAUGCUUAGAGAUCACGAAGAACCCCGAUUGCGAAGGCAGCUUACUAAACUGUGACUGACAUUGAUGCUCGAAAGUGUGGGUAGCAAACAGGAUUAGAUACCCCGGUAGUC
RNAcentral lists this ribosomal RNA (460 nucleotides) under uncultured bacterium. RNAcentral describes it as "partial 16S ribosomal RNA". It matches the Rfam family "Bacterial small subunit ribosomal RNA", at positions 338 to 795 of the family's 1533-position model. The record is from RNAcentral.